AAAAAAAAAAAAAAAAAAAAAAACAGGGUUGGGGGGGAAGAAACCCUCAUUUUUCAUAUCAAAUCCUCCCUGCUGAUUUCGUGAAGGCUGCAAAACAGCAGGUAACAAUGUGUAAGUGACUUUGAAUUAAGACUGAAUUCUCUGUGUCCUUCGCGUCUCCCUCAAAUGUGGACUGAUUUUCUAAGAAUUUAAUUAUCUAAGAACACAGCAUCAAAGCUGUUAGACCCUUGUUAGUGUUAAUUCAAACUUAAUGUGCAUGCGAUUUAGAGAUCUUGGAUACUAGGCAAAUGAUUUCAAUUUAAAUAGCCCUCUUUGUCCUACACAUCACAAAACAUCUUUUAACAUAUUUUCUUUCUUUUUUAAUAGAAUACUGUAACUCAGGUCUCUCCCACUAAAAAAGAUUCUCACUGGGGAGAAAUCAGAUGUUCUACAAAUCAGCAGGAUAUGGCAGGAAGAACAAAUAUGGGCUUUGGUGCCUUGGAAACUAAGUUCAAAUCUUAGAAGUUCACCUUUUUCCAUGUGUCUGCAGGCAGAAGCUUAACUUCUUUGAACUUCAGUAAAUUAACCUCUCAGCAAGGACUGGGAGCUGGCAAGAGGGCUAGUGGCGAGAGUUACCCAAGUGGGGUGAAUGCAGGGGCGUGUCUGGAAGCUGGUGGUCCUGGUAGCAUCUGGGGUCUAGAAAUAGCUGCUCCAUCCCAAGGCAAGGAGGAAACGGGUAGUGAAUACUGGCCUGAAGGACUUUUGUCCAUUGAGGUUCAUGACCCACAAUUAAAUCUUAGCUAAUAUAAAACAAGAAAUAUGCCUUCUUAGGAAAGCAAAACUCUUUUAAAAAGUAUUAUGGUAUUUUAAUUGAAAUAUAUAUCAUGUAUGUUACCUCUUUAGGAUGAUUGGAUCACAGGAACCAGCCAAUCCUACUGGAGCAUGUUUAUUUCAAAAACGUGAACUAAGCCCUGUGGCACAAUAAUUCCUUCAAAAAGCAUAAAGGAAUCAUUUGUUAUUGUAAUCUGAAAGCAUGGCUUUAGCUAAAUUGAAGUUCAUUGUUUUAAAGUUUGAAAAUAGAACUCUGUAAUUGGACCAACAAAUAUUUAUGAAUGCAUAAUUAAUUUUAAAUCAGUGUCCCUAGGAUUUCCUGCUGUGGCACAGCAGGUCAAGAAUCCAGCAUUGUCUCUGUGGUGGUGCAGGUUCAGGUCUGCAGCUUGGAUUCAUUCCCUGGCCUGGGAAUUUCCAUAUGCUGUAAGUAUGCCCAUAAAAAAAAUAAUCAAUAUGCCCAGAUUACACGGGUCUCAUUCAUGUUUUGGAAAUACUUUGAGGUAUCUGCUGUGAUGUAACCAUGUUCCUGCCUUCCAAUUAUAUACAUAUACAUAUAGCAUACGAUCAAUAUUACCUUCCAAUAAAGGUUGUAGGGAAGAAUAUUUCAUCGAUUUUUACAUACAAGUAACUUCAGUCCCAGAGAGAAUAGGGGUCUUUUUCAGAGUCACAAAUUGAAAUAGUAAGAGCCCAAAUAAGAACUCAGAACUUCUGAUUCCAAAGUUAAUAUUAUUUUCAGGAAAAAAAUAUAUAGAUAGAUAGAUAUAAUAAAAGACCCAUCACAACCCAGCGUAUUUGGUAGACAAUUCCUCCCCUCAUAACAUCAAGUUUCUCUCUGCCAAGAUUCCCCUAAUUCAAGACCUGGUGUACCCUCCUCCUUGGCUCUCCCUUAUCAAGGGCUUAACUUGGAAAAUAAUAUUCAAUGUCAGUCAUUUACACUUUAGUAUGAAUUUAAGUCAGUGUGGUUUCUUUCUCUUAGUCUUCUACAUUUCAGUCAUUAUCUUCAAGUUUUAAUGAGAGCAAGACAAUUUCUCCUAUUAAAAUAUUUUUCAUAACAUGAAAUGCUCCAAGAGUUUUCGUAUAAGGAUUUUGAUUAAGAGCCCUUAGUUUAAAAAAAAUUGCAAUAUAUUCAUGACCCUAAUAUGUAAAAUGUCUUUUAGCAUAGAAGUGUGAGUUCCCUAAAGGAAGAGAUUAUAGCUGUCUUGUUGGCUAUUGUAUCCCCAGUAGUUUGAUAUAGAGCCUGUCAUAUGUUUAACACUCUGAAUAAUUGUAGAAUUAAAAAAAAAUCAACCUAACGGAUACAGUAAGUCGUGUCAAAUAUGUCGCACUUUCAUAAGCUGAGGAAAAAAAGACACUCAAUGACAUUAUUUGAAAAGGGUUUUACAGCCAUUGGUAAUUCUGGAAAAGAGUCUCUUAAGGCACCUAAAUAAUCCACCUGACGUCUGAUUCCAUUUACAAAAUCAGGUUCAAAAGAGGCUAAAAUGUUCGAAGGGGGAGAGGGGGCUCCAGUGCAUAUGGUGGCAAAAGGGAUCUUCACAAGAAGGCACACCUAGAGUCUCUUUGCUUUUAUUCACUACUUUAAUGUACUAUUUGUGUGUUUUUAUGCUGCCCUAGAGUAAGUAGAAUCCUGACCUAGGUUUCACGGUCUAUCAUAUUUCUUCCACUUACUCUUUUCUCCUUUGUAAUGUGGGGUGGGGACUUGCUAUAAUGUGGUGAGCGAGCUAGGACGUUGUCCCUUCCCUCCUGAACUCAGUAAUAGCUUCUGGCUGCCCCCAGAUCAGAGGGCAGAUGUGUAUCCAAGACAAAUUGAACUCUGAUGUUUCUCUCAGGAGGAAAAUCAAAAUCCUAGUUAGAAGUUGAGCAAAAAAAAAGUGUGAAUAAAAAUUCCUUUUCAAAAAUGAGCCUUAAGAUCAGAGUGGGAACAUAAAGUUCUAUCAACAUUUGGAGCAUAAGGCAGAUGAGGCUUAGUGAUUUAGAACUGGGGUCAAUAACAGCAUAAGUCCAAUUAUUUUUUAAUGGCCUGCACCCCAGGCUAGGGAUCGAAUCAGAGCUACAGCUGCCAGCCUACACCACAACCACAGCAACACCAGAUCCAAACCACAUCUGUGCCUCAGCUUGUGGCAGCGCCAGAUCCUAAACCUAAUGAGUGAGGCCAGGGAUUGAACCCACAUCCUCAUGGAGACUGCAUUGGCUUUUAACCCACUGAGCCACAACGGGAACUCCCAUGUGAGGCCAGUUCUUAAUGAGUGUUUUCAGAAGUGUGUGUGUGUGUGUGUGUGUGUGUGUUCAGGGGUGGGCUUGAUCGCAUAAAGGAAUAGGACAUAUCAAAUUAUGACUCACAUUGGUUUCAAUUUCUUGUUACUGAGACCUCUAAAUAAAUGGAAAUACUCUGCUCCUUGAAGGCAAGGAUAGUAUCUUGAACAGUUUGUUUUUUUGUGUGUCUAGUAAAUAUUUAUUGAAUUAGUUAAUCUAUCAAAGGAGAACAAUUCAGUAAUUAUUUAUUCAAUAUAAUGAUACAACACUCAAAUGUUAUUAGUUACAGAUUGGGUUUUUUGGAAUCUAACUUACCAAGUUGCUGGAGGGUUUUUUUCCUAUAACUAGUUUACUGCCUAGUACAGAAGAGCAGUUGUAUAUUUCUUAACUGGUUUGAGGUUUUUUGUGUUUUGUAUUGUAUUUUUUCAAAAAGGAAAAAAAGUAAAAUCAACAUCUGAAUUUGUCAUAUUUGAAAAGUGGGUGCAAGAAAGUAUGACAGUAACUAAACACAGUAAUUCACAUACACACCCCCAUGCACCUGUGCACAACAGCUGGGACAUAUAGAGUGCUAUUUGUUUUUUUUUUUUUUUUUUUUUUGGUAUUUUUGUCUUUUUAGGGCCGAACCAGCAGUAUAUGGAGGUUCCCAGGCUAAGGGUCCAAUUAGAACUACAGCCACUGUCCUAGACCACAGGCACAGCAAUGCGGGAUCCGACCACAUCUACAAUCUACACCGCACACAACUCACGGCAGUGCUGGAUUCUUAACCCGCUGAGAGAGGCCAGGGAUCAAACCCACAUCCUCAUGGAUGGUAGUCGGGUUCAUUACCACUGAGCCACAACGGGAACUCCUUCCUAGAGCGCUAUUCUCACGUACUACUGGCCAAUUCAGGAUUUGUCAAGAUUUCCACUUAUCUGAGGAUACUUGAUGGGCACUGGCAUAACUCAGGGAGGCUGUCUGCAAACCUUCAGACCAAUAACUUAACAGAAAUAAUAGUAAAUAUGGCAGUGGAGAUUCUUUAGAGUUAUAUUUUUUAUAAAUGAUUCUAGGAACACUUUUGCCACUUAUUUUCUUUCUUUGUGUUUUGCUUCCUAAUUUAUGGGCUGCCUCAUUCCAAAAGGGUGUUGAAGAAGCAGCUCAAGUUAUAGGAUUUUCAGUUGAUUCAUUCAGAGAGAAUGUAGCUUCUGAAAAUGUAGCCCAGCUCUUAUCACUUCUCCACUAAGCCCUUCAAUGACGCCUCCAUCCACAGCCUAAAAGAGUUCUGCCUGGUGGGUUUCAACGUGUCCAGGAAUCUUGAUAAGAGAUGCAGCUGCAGAGUGGGCAGGUGCCAGCCAUGGAGGUCCCGUGUGCCAGAAUAAAGAAACUGGAUUUUAUCCUGCUGCCACUAGGGAGCUGUUAAAUGAUUUUAAAUAAGGGCAUGGUAUAAUCAGAUUUGGGUUUCCCAUUAUGGAACCAUCAUAGAGUAUUUUUCUAUGGAAAUCUGCUUCUUUAUUAACCUUUCUGAAAACAGAGCCCACAGAAGGAGUACAUUUUCCCCUAAAAACUAUGAAGUAUAUUGAGGCAGUAACAAAGUGUGUGCAAGUGUGAGUACAAAUAAAGGUACAACAGUUAUAUCUCAUCUGGGCAGUAGCCACGUGGUUGCCCAGAGAGAGAUAAAUCUUCACAAGGAUUUCUCUCCUUGGAACUUCUAUGAGAAUUUUAACAGGGUGACCUGUGUCACUGGAAAGGAAUUAGUUGGAGAGACCCUUUGAGUAGUAAAGAAUCUGGUGGAUGAGUGGGCUAAGGGAUGGAUGACCUUUGUCCUAAUAGAUUCACAAAGUCCCCUUUUCUGAAACCUUGCUGAUCACUCUCCCACCCUAAAUGCCUCUCUUAGGGGGCGUGGGGAGACAUUUCAAGCACUUAGUUAGCUGUGUUAUAGCACUACUUUAUAAAACUACCUGUGUACUUAUCUUUCUCACCCAUUAUUAUUACUUUGGAACAGAACCAUGGUUUCAUUUCUUUAGCAACAGAUUUUUUUUUAAAUAUUUUUUUUUAAAUUUUCCCACUGCACAGCAAGGGGGUCAGGUUAUCCUUACAUGUAUACAUUACAAUUACAUUUUUUUCCCCACCCUUUGUUCUGUUGCAACAUGAGUAUCUAGACAUAGUUCUCAAUGCUAUUCAGCAGGAUCUCCUUGUAAAUCUAUUCUAAGUUGUGUCUGAUAAGCCCAGGGAUUUUUUUUUUUAAUAAAUGAACAAACAAAUGAUAAAAAUAUGGAUUUUAUAAAUGGAACCAAGUGUGAUUUUUCAGGAGAAUAGACUUCAAGAGAGACUUUGAAGGCUCCAACCCCAAGGAUACACAGGGAUAUAAUAGAUGAACUUACAUAGAAGUGCGUAAUUAAGAACUGCUCUGGGAGUUCCCUCGAGGCCCCUUGGAUUAAGGAUCCAAUAUUGUUACUACUGCAAUUUGGGUCACUGCUGUGGUGCAGGUUCCUAGCCCUGGGAAUUCCACAUACCAAGGGUGGGGCCAAAAAUAAAAAAAUAAAAAUAAAAUGUAAAAUGGCACUGAAUGAAGUUGAAAGACAGACAGAUAGACAGAC
This 5633-nucleotide long non-coding RNA is filed under the name Sus scrofa (pig). Its description in RNAcentral is "lncRNA (ENSSSCG00035047990.1)". The record is from RNAcentral. Lineage: Eukaryota; Metazoa; Chordata; Mammalia; Artiodactyla; Suidae.